Molecule: long non-coding RNA, 568 nt
Organism: Mus musculus (house mouse)
Lineage: Eukaryota; Metazoa; Chordata; Mammalia; Rodentia; Muridae
Product: predicted gene, 35063
Exons: 3
Source: RefSeq, a predicted model, not a curated record
UAUGUCUUUGAUAGAACCCAUAUCUCAAACCUGGAAUUUUGAUUCUCUCCUGGGAUCUCCUGAGAUCGCCACCUCAGUACAAUCUUCUCUGGCAAUGCUUCAGGCUGCAGCCAGUCACCAGCUAUCAGGGGAAACACUCAGACACAGCCCGCUGUGUAGCCCAGUUGAGGAGUGAGGCUUGGUAUAAUGAUGAGAGAUUCCAACAGCAUCCCUCUCUUCUGUCCAUGUUCCACUUCAGGACAGCCCAAACCAACUCCAGAUAUCUGAACCUGUCAUCCUGCCAGUCAUCACCCACUGUCCUGGAGCAUCCUUCCCUGCCCAGAUGCUCUGCCCAGGUCAUUCACUGCUCACAAGUGGCUCCAGUGGGUCAGAGUCCCAUAGCCCAGGCUGGACCUGAGAUGCAUGAGACCAGAACAAAGGAAACCUCUCUACCUCUAUGAGAUGUCAUGGAUACAAUCACUGCCUUCUCAGAGGCUGGCUUUGCCGUGGUGCCAAGGCAAGAGCUGUCUGUCUCACCACCUUUCAGUUCUUGUUAAAAAGCAGAAGCCAUGGCCGGGCCUGCAGGGCC